CUCUUACUUGUUUCGCAUUUUAAUCUCGAAGUCCGCCCGGACGCCGGCCGUGGUCAACAUGCGUCUCCUGCUGCACAUUUUACUGAUGGCGGCCGUUGUGACAUUCGCCGCUGCGCUCAGCUGCAUGGAGUGCACCGCCCGAACGGCGCAUGAAAUGCACCCAGGACAGACUCACAGAGGCGCAGUGCGGAGGCUGGGGUAUCCAUCCGUCUAUGUGUCUCUGCGGUUGUCCGGUUUGUGCCAAGAAGAGGGGAGAGCGUUGCAACGGUCCCUUGGGUAUGGCUGGCAAGUGCGGCAGAUUUCUGAGGUGCAAGCUUCCACCAGGCCAUGCCUCGUUUCAGGCGGUGGGAACUUGCGUGUGGGCUGUCUAACACGAAGGAUGAAGCAUGUCGACAUUGGCUGCUUGCGCAGCGCGGGAAGAGAAACGGGACAUUUUUCAAUUGAGCCAAGAAUCCGUGUGCUGCCGCAAGCACACUGAAUUGUCCGUGUGCGGGCACUACGACGGAACGGCCGGCAUUACUGCUGUGUGUGUCGGGUGCGAAGCGUAACUCGAAGCUUAGAUCCAAGAAUAUUUGUGUUUGGUUUCUAUAGUUAUCCCAUCGCUUGUGCUCGACGCUUUCUUUCUCCAGCAAAGAAUAUAUCGUUGAACAAC
This is a long non-coding RNA of Pollicipes pollicipes, 652 nucleotides long. RefSeq lists it as uncharacterized. The transcript is spliced from 2 exons. Lineage: Eukaryota; Metazoa; Arthropoda; Thecostraca; Pollicipedomorpha; Pollicipedidae. The record is from RefSeq and is a predicted model, not a curated record.